RNAcentral lists this ribosomal RNA (489 nucleotides) under uncultured bacterium. Its description in RNAcentral is "partial 16S ribosomal RNA". It matches the Rfam family "Bacterial small subunit ribosomal RNA", at positions 30 to 506 of the family's 1533-position model. The record is from RNAcentral.
AUUGAACGCUGGCGGCAGGCCUAACACAUGCAAGUCGAACGGUAACAGAAAGCAGCUUGCUGCUUUGCUGACGAGUGGCGGACGGGUGAGUAAUGUCUGGGAAACUGCCUGAUGGAGGGGGAUAACUACUGGAAACGGUAGCUAAUACCGCAUAACGUCGCAAGACCAAAGAGGGGGACCUUCGGGCCUCUUGCCAUCGGAUGUGCCCAGAUGGGAUUAGCUUGUUGGUGGGGUAACGGCUCACCAAGGCGACGAUCCCUAGCUGGUCUGAGAGGAUGACCAGCCACACUGGAACUGAGACACGGUCCAGACUCCUACGGGAGGCAGCAGUGGGGAAUAUUGCACAAUGGGCGCAAGCCUGAUGCAGCCAUGCCGCGUGUAUGAAGAAGGCCUUCGGGUUGUAAAGUACUUUCAGCGGGGAGGAAGGGAGUAAAGUUAAUACCUUUGCUCAUUGACGUUACCCGCAGAAGAAGCACCGGCUAACUCCGU